Molecule: transfer RNA, 72 nt
Filed under: Chloroflexota bacterium
Lineage: Bacteria; Bacillati; Chloroflexota
Also listed under: 1 other name
Description: Chloroflexi bacterium tRNA-Met
Rfam family: tRNA
About the family: Transfer RNA (tRNA) molecules are approximately 80 nucleotides in length. Their secondary structure includes four short double-helical elements and three loops (D, anti-codon, and T loops).
Source: RNAcentral
UGCGGGGUGGAGCAGCGGUAGCUCGUUGGGCUCAUAACCCAAAGGUCAAAGGUUCGAAUCCUUUCCCCGCAA